This 177-nucleotide unclassified non-coding RNA is filed under the name fungal sp. RNAcentral's name for it is "partial internal transcribed spacer region". The stretch from base 1 to 46 matches the Rfam family "Eukaryotic small subunit ribosomal RNA", at positions 1786 to 1831 of the family's 1831-position model. Lineage: Eukaryota; Fungi. The record is from RNAcentral.
AAGUCGUAACAAGGUAUCCGUAGGUGAACCUGCGGAUGGAUCAUUAUUGAAUAUCCACAUACACCCCAACUUUGAAUGUUUUGGCGGGGGCCGAGAGGCCUGACCCGCACUUUAACGCGAAAACAUGGACGAAAUAACCAAUGAGAACAACUUUUAACAACGGAUCUCUUGGCUCUC